CCUUAUUUAAAGAUUAUAGUUUUCCCUGUUAGAAUUUUUUAUUUUAACAUCAAAAGAUAUUCAACGAAUUUUUAAUUAGAGGCAAAAUUAAUGCAUUGUUGACUUAAAUGGGCCAGCAUCCUGUCCUGUGGCGGGAGGCUAUGUGGGCCGAGUCAUGUUCGAAAUGGCGUGAGGCUGGGUUGAGCCGAGUCAUGUUCGAAGUGGCGUGAGGCCAGGUGGGCCCAGUCACAAUCGAGACCCGUGGGCGCUGUUUCUGUACGCUUUAAGUGAAUUGGUUGCGUAUUUCUAACAGCUCGAGCAUUUGGGAUUAAUGGUUAGCGUCAGCGAUCCGACACAUUGUUGGCUUAAAUGGGCAAGCAUCCUGCCCUGUGGCGGGAGGCCAUGUGGGCCGAGUCAUGUUCGAAAUGGCGUAAGGCUGAGUUGGGUCGAGUCAUUUUGAAGUGGCGUGAGACCAGGUGGGCCGAGUCACAAUCGAGACCCGUGGGCGCUGUUUCUGUACGCUUUAAGUGAAUUGGUUGCGUAUUUCUAACAGCUCGAGCUUUUGGGAUUAAUGGUUAGCGCCAACGAUCCGACAAGUGGUAUCAGAGCCAGAGGUCACGGGUUCGAUUCCUGCAUGCUGCAAAUGUGUGCAGGUGCUGUAUGGGGGAUUGUCGGCUUAAAUGGGCCAGCAUCCUGCCCUGUGGCGGGAGGCCAUGUGGGCCAAGCCAUGUUCGAAAUGGCAUGAGGCUGGGUUGGGCCGAGUCAUGUUCGAAGUAGUAUGAGGCCAGGUGGGCCGAGUCACAAUCGAGACCCGUGGGCACUGUUUCUGUACGCUUUAAGUGAAUUGGUUGCGUAUUUCUAACAGCUCGAGCUUUUGGGAUUAAUAGUUAGCGCCAACGAUCCGACAGACAGUGAAUUCUGAGCUCUCCUGAAAAGUUUUAUCUCAUGCUUAAUGAAUUUUUUAUUAGGGUCCGUUUGGUUCAAGGCAAAACUAUGAAAAAUAAUUUUUAAUGGAAAAAUAUUUUUGGUGGAAAUUUUUUUUUUACAUUUUAUAGUGUUUGAAUCGUAGGAAAAAAAAUAAUUUUCUAUCAACAUUGGUUUAGUUGGAAGGAAAAAAAUUUACAUUU
RNAcentral lists this long non-coding RNA (1106 nucleotides) under Ananas comosus (pineapple). RNAcentral describes it as "long non-coding RNA (ACOM_LNC002517)". Lineage: Eukaryota; Viridiplantae; Streptophyta; Magnoliopsida; Poales; Bromeliaceae. The record is from RNAcentral.